Molecule: ribosomal RNA, 468 nt
Filed under: uncultured bacterium
Lineage: Bacteria
Description: partial 16S ribosomal RNA
Rfam family: Bacterial small subunit ribosomal RNA
Source: RNAcentral
GACGAACGCUGGCGGCGUGCUUAACACAUGCCAGUCGAACGGAAGGGCCCUGCUUUUGUGGGGUGCUCGAGUGGCGAACGGGUGAGUAACACGUGAGUAACCUGCCCUUGACUUUGGGAUAACUUCAGGAAACUGGGGCUAAUACCGGAUAGGAGCUCCUGCUGCAUGGUGGGGGUUGGAAAGUUUCGGCGGUUGGGGAUGGACUCGCGGCUUAUCAGCUUGUUGGUGGGGUAGUGGCUUACCAAGGCUUUGACGGGUAGCCGGCCUGGGAGGGUGACCGGCCACAUUGGGACUGAGAUACGGCCCAGACUCCUACGGGAGGCAGCAGUGGGGAAUAUUGCACAAUGGGCGGAAGCCUGAUGCAGCAACGCCGCGUGCGGGAUGACGGCCUUCGGGUUGUAAACCGCUUUCGCCUGUGACGAAGCGUGAGUGACGGUAAUGGGUAAAGAAGCACCGGCUAACUACGUG